This 465-nucleotide ribosomal RNA is filed under the name Vreelandella stevensii. RNAcentral's name for it is "partial 16S ribosomal RNA". It matches the Rfam family "Bacterial small subunit ribosomal RNA", at positions 338 to 795 of the family's 1533-position model. The record is from RNAcentral. Lineage: Bacteria; Pseudomonadati; Pseudomonadota; Gammaproteobacteria; Oceanospirillales; Halomonadaceae.
CCUACGGGAGGCAGCAGUGGGGAAUAUUGGACAAUGGGCGAAAGCCUGAUCCGGCCAUGCCGCGUGUGUGAAGAAGGCCUUCGGGUUGUAAAGCACUUUCAGUGGGGAAGAAAGCCUUGGGGCUAAUACCCUCGAGGAAGGACAUCACCCACAGAAGAAGCACCGGCUAACUCCGUGCCAGCAGCCGCGGUAAUACGGAGGGUGCGAGCGUUAAUCGGAAUUACUGGGCGUAAAGCGCGCGUAGGCGGUCUGAUAAGCCGGUUGUGAAAGCCCCGGGCUCAACCUGGGAACGGCAUCCGGAACUGUCAGGCUAGAGUGCAGGAGAGGAAGGUAGAAUUCCCGGUGUAGCGGUGAAAUGCGUAGAGAUCGGGAGGAAUACCAGUGGCGAAGGCGGCCUUCUGGACUGACACUGACGCUGAGGUGCGAAAGCGUGGGUAGCAAACAGGAUUAGAUACCCCUGUAGUC